AAGCCGCAGCGAACAAGCUGUAACAGGUUGUUAACAAAGUUCAUCAGCUGUCUCGUCUGAAUCCCUUGCUGUUCUUCUCGAUUCCCUCUAUAGGUUGUUAACAAAGUUCAUCAGCUAACUUGAUUGAAUGGAUCAAUAUGACUUGAUAGACAGAUACUCAGAUGGAAACGUCGGUUUGUCCAACAUUUUAGAUCACUUGCAUCCAAUUUUUGUACAUGUUUAGACCAGAAAGGGUUAGCACCGUUUUCAUUAUUGUUUUUGGGUUUCAGUUGAUGUAAAAGGCAAGAAUAUUAGAUCAGUUACUAAGAUCAGCAAUUGUUUCAUUUGGCGCACUCCUUAUGUAUCCUCGCUUAGUUUCUUUUGCCCUGUGGCAGGCUCAAAAUACAGCUUCAGAGGAACCAGUUCAAAGCUCAACCUGCAGGUCCAAAGAUGAGAAUGAGAAGCAUAACAAUAUCACUGAAGAGGCUUCAUGAUGAGCACACCCUGUUCCGAGGUGGCGAGGUGUAGUAAAAACGAGAGAGAAUAAAGGGAGGCUAGUUCAUGUAAAUAACUUUGAAUAAAAAAUAGUUGUUAAACUACUUGUUUAGAUCAGAUCAUUUGAUGUAAAUAAUGAUUUAUCGAAACCCGACGGCACUUUCUAAUUAUUCGUAUGCCAGGCUUUUCUUUAUAAUCUAUAAUAAGAUUUUCUUAGAUCGUCAAGUGCGCAAGCCCUUGGAGAGGAAUUGAGA
RNAcentral lists this long non-coding RNA (728 nucleotides) under Zea mays. RNAcentral's name for it is "long non-coding RNA (ZMAY_LNC003251)". Lineage: Eukaryota; Viridiplantae; Streptophyta; Magnoliopsida; Poales; Poaceae. The record is from RNAcentral.